Molecule: long non-coding RNA, 184 nt
Organism: Juglans microcarpa x Juglans regia
Lineage: Eukaryota; Viridiplantae; Streptophyta; Magnoliopsida; Fagales; Juglandaceae
Exons: 3
Source: RefSeq, a predicted model, not a curated record
AAUAUUACAAAAGAAUAAUGUUACAUGCAAUCGUGGAAUGCGCAAACGCCAUGCAGUCGUUUGAAAAAAAAGUGAGGUUCACUAUUAAAAAAUUAUUAUUUUUUCAUGUGAAUCUAAUAUUUAUUCACUUUUUUCAAAGUGAUUGCACCGUACUUGUACAUAAUUCACGACCACAACUAUCAUU